This 253-nucleotide ribosomal RNA is filed under the name uncultured bacterium. RNAcentral describes it as "partial 16S ribosomal RNA". It matches the Rfam family "Bacterial small subunit ribosomal RNA", at positions 524 to 776 of the family's 1533-position model. The record is from RNAcentral.
GACAGAAGGUGCAAACGCUACUCGGAAUUACUGGGCGUAAAGCGUCUGCAGGUUUCCUGCCACGUCUGGCGUUAAAACGCGGGGCUUAACUCCGCGUCCGUGCCGGAAACGAGCGGGAUAGAGGUACUCAGAGGCAUCUGGAAUGUCGUGUGUAGGGGUAAAAUCCGUAGAUCCACGAUGGAACGCCGAAAGCGAAGGCAGGAUGCUGGGGGUCACCUGACACUCAGAGACGAAAGCGUGGGGAGCAAAGGGG